GGAUCUGAGGGUGAUCUGGCUGAAACAUCUAUCACCCCUUUGAUCACCAGGGUUGAUGAGGCUGUUCUGGCUGGCUUGGCGGGUGUCCCCUUUCUUCUUCACCACUCCCUGUGCAUCCCUUUGUAAGCUGCACUGGGUGGAAAGGACAACCUUUCCAGAUAGAGGAGGACCAUUCUUCGGUCAAGGGUAGAGAAGUAGCUGCAUUUCCCUGCUAGAACCUCCAAACAACCUUUCAAGGUCCUUUUGUAGGAGAACGUAAGGUAGUCAAGUUUCCAAGACCCAGACCCAUCCAAAUGAGGCACUGCAGGUGGCAGUUUGCCUUAC
Molecule: unclassified non-coding RNA, 324 nt
Organism: Mustela putorius furo (domestic ferret)
Lineage: Eukaryota; Metazoa; Chordata; Mammalia; Carnivora; Mustelidae
Gene: 7SK
Rfam family: 7SK RNA
About the family: 7SK was discovered as an abundant small nuclear RNA in the mid-70s but a possible function has only recently been suggested. Two independent studies have found that 7SK RNA binds the CDK9/cyclin T complex (known as elongation factor P-TEFb).
Source: Ensembl